CAGGAAGUCAAAGUUUUCACCCAGACAAUAUGUCCCUUUCCUGCAAAUGUCCCCUGAAAUCACAGAGCUUUCAGAGAAUGUGCUCAACUGUCAUCACACAACAUAAGGCCAGAACCUGUCACAGCAAGGGGCCAAAGAAAGUUAUGGACCAGGAGUCUGGAUGGUUGGAUUAACGCCAAGGAGGCCACCCACAACUGAUCAGAGAAGUCACAGGCCAUCAGGAGAGAUCAUUUAAUCCAGGACGAGGAGGUGCAGGAGUGCGAGGGAGGAUUUCCAGAACAUCACAUCUCCCCUUGGUUGUGGAAUUAAAGUGGUGAAUAAUACAUGGCUGAAAGCAUCUGUCUCUCCGCGCUGCAUCCUCUCUUGGACACCGGGGGAUUUGAA
Long non-coding RNA from Lates calcarifer (barramundi perch), 384 nucleotides. RefSeq lists it as uncharacterized. The transcript has 4 exons. Lineage: Eukaryota; Metazoa; Chordata; Actinopteri; Centropomidae. The record is from RefSeq and is a predicted model, not a curated record.